This 75-nucleotide transfer RNA is filed under the name Nostoc sp. NIES-3756. RNAcentral's name for it is "tRNA-Ala". It matches the Rfam family "tRNA". From Rfam's summary of the family: Transfer RNA (tRNA) molecules are approximately 80 nucleotides in length. Their secondary structure includes four short double-helical elements and three loops (D, anti-codon, and T loops). Further hydrogen bonds mediate the characteristic L-shaped molecular structure. tRNAs have two regions of fundamental functional importance: the anti-codon, which is responsible for specific mRNA codon recognition, and the 3' end, to which the tRNAs corresponding amino acid is attached (by aminoacyl-tRNA synthetases). tRNAs cope with the degeneracy of the genetic code in two manners: having more than one tRNA (with a specific anti-codon) for a particular amino acid; and 'wobble' base-pairing, i.e. permitting non-standard base-pairing at the 3rd anti-codon position. Lineage: Bacteria; Bacillati; Cyanobacteriota; Cyanophyceae; Nostocales; Nostocaceae. The record is from RNAcentral. RNAcentral also lists the same sequence under 1 other name.
UGGGGUUAUAGCUCAGUUGGUAGAGCACUUCAAUGGCAUUGAAGGGGUCAGCGGUUCGAAUCCGCUUAACUCCAU